GGGGUGAUAGCUCAGUUGGGAGAGCGUACGACUGAAGUUAAACUUUGGUACACGAAAAAUCGUAAGGUCACUGGUUCGAUCCCGGUUCGCCCCA
The sequence is a transfer RNA, 94 nucleotides long. It matches the Rfam family "tRNA". Rfam says of the family: Transfer RNA (tRNA) molecules are approximately 80 nucleotides in length. Their secondary structure includes four short double-helical elements and three loops (D, anti-codon, and T loops).